AAAUUGAAGAGUUUGAUCAUGGCUCAGAUUGAACGCUGGCGGCAGGCCUAACACAUGCAAGUCGAACGGUAACAGGAAGCAGCUUGCUGCUUUGCUGACGAGUGGCGGACGGGUGAGUAAUGUCUGGGAAACUGCCUGAUGGAGGGGGAUAACUACUGGAAACGGUGGCUAAUACCGCAUAACGUCGCAAGACCAAAGAGGGGGACCUUCGGGCCUCUUGCCAUCAGAUGUGCCCAGAUGGGAUUAGCUUGUUGGUGAGGUAACGGCUCACCAAAGCGACGAUCCCUAGCUGGUCUGAGAGGAUGACCAGCCACACUGGAACUGAGACACGGUCCAGACUCCUACGGGAGGCAGCAGUGGGGAAUAUUGCACAAUGGGCGCAAGCCUGAUGCAGCCAUGCCGCGUGUAUGAAGAAGGCCUUCGGGUUGUAAAGUACUUUCAGCGGGGAGGAAGGUGUUG
Molecule: ribosomal RNA, 459 nt
Filed under: Salmonella enterica
Lineage: Bacteria; Pseudomonadati; Pseudomonadota; Gammaproteobacteria; Enterobacterales; Enterobacteriaceae
Description: bacterial SSU rRNA
Rfam family: Bacterial small subunit ribosomal RNA
Source: RNAcentral